This 1405-nucleotide long non-coding RNA is filed under the name Pongo abelii (Sumatran orangutan). RNAcentral's name for it is "lincRNA". The record is from RNAcentral. Lineage: Eukaryota; Metazoa; Chordata; Mammalia; Primates; Hominidae.
CAGGGGUUUGAGACAAGCCUGACCAAGAUGGAGAAACCCAGUCUCUAUCAAAAAUACAAAAUUAGGCAGGUGUGGUGGCGCAUGCCUGUAAUCCCAGCUACUCGGGAAGCGGAGAAGAAUCGCUUGAACCCAGAAGGCAGAGGUUGUGGUGAGCUGAGAUCUCACCAUUGCACUCCAGCCUGGGCAACAAGAGCGAAACUCCGUCUCAAAAUAAUAAUAAUAAUAAUAAUAAUAAGUUUACAACCUCUGAAUAUGUACCAAAUGGAGCCAGGGCUGGGGAGUAUUAGGACAAGCCCCGCACUGCAGAACCCCCAGCUCUCACUCGUGGACCGAGUGCAUGGGACACAGCCAUUCGGAAAGGUCUUUCUUUUGGAGUGGGACUGGGUGUUCUGGUUUUAGUUUGCUUGUUUUAUCGUUUUGUGACAUUGGCGCCUAUUCUUCAGUUUGCAUCCUUGCCUUGCUUGCUUGAAGCUGGAGCACAAAUGUCCCGUCACCCUGUAACAACAUAAGCAUGCGCCAUCCCUGCGAGGCUUAGCUUGGGAAGUGGAGUCUCCAGGAAUCUCCUUCUGUGGUCUGUCUGCCACUUUACACUGUUGCUCUCAUUUCAGUCACUGAGGCCCUGUCCCUUAUCCUCUAGGGACAUGGUGCUGCCCUAUGAGCUCUGGCUCCUGUGUGACUUUUACAUUGCUCCUCCAGAUAGCAGUGGCAGUGGCAUUUGCAAAAAGGCUAUUUGAGAACAAAUAAGAAUAAAAUCAUCAAAAUGAAGAUGAUAGCAAAACAGCCCUCAUUUUUCAAAGUCCAUUCUUUUUUCUGGUCCAUGCACUGCCAGCUCACUUCUCUGGCUAAAACCCGGGGGCAGCGGGGGUGUGUGUUGGGGGGGGUUAGUUUUGCAGAAAGUACUGAUGGCACAGCUGUGCUCCAAGUUAACCAGAACACAAGAAUCGAAAAAGCCUGUGAGAUACUGGUGCUCGUGAUCGUAAGCUCCAGGUCAGGGGGUUUUCAGAUGAACACAAAAAGGGGGCUUCUCCCAUCCCAAGAUGAGUGAUAAAUGAGGCACUUCUCAUACUCGCACUCAUACUCACUCCAUUCCCUCUGGGAUGACUCUUCCGUCCUGCAGCUGUGGCUGAUGUUAUUCCCCUGAUAAACUUCUUUCCCUCUCCCUCCCUCUGACACAGAAACACACACACACACACACCACUGGAUCUAUAAGCAGUUUGUAACAGGAUGCACCAGUUCUAAUCACUUUUCAAGUCAAAUGAACCAGUUGCAGCUUCCUAAUAAGUGAACAGCUGACAUAAAGAGUUAAUUCAGAAGCAGCUCAAUACUAUGGACAAUACUAGUGGACAAUAUUAGCAUACUGCUCGUACAACAAAGAUACCAUAGUCUCUUGUGUUGCCUCUUCAAG